ACCGUUACGAAUAAGCCUUCCAAUUAAGCCCUAACUUUCCAUUUCCCCUCUCACUCACUCUCUCUCCUCGAACUCCCUCCUUUGCCUUCACCUUUCAUUCUCACUCUUUCACUCCCAAACUCCCUCCUUCUCCGUUAAACCCCAUUGAAGCUCUGCCGGAUCGGAAAUCCUUCGCAAUUCCUUUCUUCUCCCUCAGCUACCGGAGCAGCUAAUCGGCCACCAGUCCUCCGCAAUUCCUGUGUUCUCCCUUGCAAUUCCCUUUUUCUCCCUCGCAAUUUCCUUCUUCACUGUCAACUCCAGUGGUUCUCCCUUGACGCCGGCUGUCAGCCCCUUUCUUCUCUAUCGCAAUUCCCUUCUUCUCCCUCGGCUGCCAGAGCAUCUUCUCGCCUAAUUCCGACCACCAGUCCUCCGCCUGCAGCCGUCCUUACAUUACGGGGUUGGUUGUUUGAAUGGGUAUCCUCUGGCCAACCAAAAGUUGGAUUCAGACAGUUUGCUGGCUUCAUUGAUUUGGAUGAUAAAACUGGGGGGAGCUUGUUUUACUACUUUGUUGAAGCUGAGAAGGAUCCUGACCAUAAGCCACUCACUCUUUGGCUUAACGGAGAGGUUUGCAAAGUUGUUGACGAUGAUGAUAAGUACAUGGAUCCUCAGUUUUGUACAACCACAACUUGAUAUUUACAAGCAUAUGCGUGCUUCCAAGAUAUUGACAAGACCUUCAGCGAAUUUCAUAAAGAAGAUUCAAAAGAUAUAAUGCAUGCCAGUGUGUGAGCCACACUCGCUGAUUGGCUUGUAGAGGCAUUGCUAUACAAACUUUAUGGAGUUUAUAAUUAAUUGCAUUCUGAUCCUAUAGCUUUUGAGAAAGCAGGGUAUGCUUUUCUUGAUGAUCCUGUAUGUUCUUAAAUCAGAAGGAAUUUUUGAAGGAGUUGCCAUAUAUGUGUCAAAUUGUCAAUCAUCAAAGCCCAUCAUAUGCUGGGCAUGCUGAAGCAAAAGUUUUUAAAUAUGAGUUGUUAAAGAACGGCAAACAAGCCAAACUAAGUUGCCUGGAUUUGUUUAUGCAUGAUACAAACUUAGUACCACAAUUGAGAAGAGAUUGAGCCACAUGUUUAUGCAGCUAAGACUAGUCAUCUACUAGGCAUGAAUAAUGAUGUACAUUAAAGUCUUUUUUUUUUUUUUUUUUUUUUGGGG
Molecule: long non-coding RNA, 1182 nt
Organism: Chenopodium quinoa (quinoa)
Lineage: Eukaryota; Viridiplantae; Streptophyta; Magnoliopsida; Caryophyllales; Amaranthaceae
Exons: 6
Source: RefSeq, a predicted model, not a curated record